RNAcentral lists this ribosomal RNA (431 nucleotides) under Hipposideros hypophyllus (Kolar leaf-nosed bat). Its description in RNAcentral is "partial 12S ribosomal RNA". It matches the Rfam family "Bacterial small subunit ribosomal RNA", at positions 776 to 1400 of the family's 1533-position model. The record is from RNAcentral. Lineage: Eukaryota; Metazoa; Chordata; Mammalia; Chiroptera; Hipposideridae.
GAUUGUACCCACUAUGCUUAGCCCUAAACCUAAAUAAUUAUCGCAACAAAUUAUUCGCCAGAGUACUACUAGCUAUAGCCUAAAACUCAAAGGACUUGGCGGUGCUUUAUAUCCCUCUAGAGGAGCCUGUCCUGUAAUCGAUAGACCCCGAUAAACCCCACCAACUCUUGCUAAUUCAGCCUAUAUACCGCCAUCCUCAGCAAACCCUAAAAAGGAACCACAGUAAGCGUAAGCAUAAGACAUAAAAACGUUAGGUCAAGGUGUAGCCCAUGAGUUGGAAAGAGAUGGGCUACAUUUUCUUGCCAAAGAACACCCAACAAUCACACGGACCCCCUCAUGAAAUAGAGGGCCAAAGGUGGAUUUAGUAGUAAACCAAGAAUAGAGAGCUUGGUUGAAUUAGGCCAUGAAGCACGCACACACCGCACGUUCAC